Molecule: non-coding RNA, 129 nt
Organism: Otolemur garnettii (small-eared galago)
Lineage: Eukaryota; Metazoa; Chordata; Mammalia; Primates; Galagidae
Source: Rfam
UGGACCUGGUGGAGGAGGAAGACAGAGUCAGGGUUACAUUAGUCUAAAAGAAUAGAGCAUAAAUUUGCAGUAACAGGUGUGAGCAUUCUAGCAGCAGUUUGAUGAUUGUGUAUGAUACUGCAAACAGGA